Pollicipes pollicipes is the source of this 431-nucleotide long non-coding RNA. RefSeq lists it as uncharacterized. The record is from RefSeq and is a predicted model, not a curated record. Lineage: Eukaryota; Metazoa; Arthropoda; Thecostraca; Pollicipedomorpha; Pollicipedidae. The transcript has 3 exons.
GGAUCAAUAAGCUACAUAAUCAGAGGUGUGCAUCGUUGGAGAGAUGAGCAAACGGCUGAAGCUAGAUAAUGGCACUGUUAAGGUGCAAGAGCCAGUGCCUGAUCCAUGCACUUCUGAUAGCUCUGAAGAAGAGGAAGAAGCAGCAAAACCUGAAGAAAUCUGGGGAUACAAUACAAAACUACCUCAGCGAACAGCUCCACCAGACUUAAAACACCGCUGUGAUGUGUUGAACUUAAAAUUCCACCCACAAGCGGACAGGCUCGUGGUUGCCACUGUUGAUGGCAGAAUAGCACUGCACAACUACAGCAGUGAGCGCAGUGACCUGGCGCUGACCCUGCCCACCUGCAAGUCCACGUGCCGCGGGCUCGAGUUCUCGGGCGACGGCGGCCUGCUGUUCUCCGGUUGGGCGGAUGGCUCUCUGCGCAUACACA